This is a long non-coding RNA of Brassica napus (rape), 183 nucleotides long. RefSeq lists it as uncharacterized. The record is from RefSeq and is a predicted model, not a curated record. NCBI's taxonomy places the organism in Eukaryota, Viridiplantae, Streptophyta, Magnoliopsida, Brassicales, Brassicaceae. The transcript is spliced from 3 exons.
AUGUUGACAAGACUUAGAAAUCGAUCCUUUUGGCAACUUUCUUUUCAUUUCACAGACUUCCCUCGUAAAUGAAUAUAUUCACUUCUUGAAUACAGCCAACAGAGAAGAGCUACUGGAGUUAAAGGGAAUUGGAGAGAAGAUGGCUGAUUACAUUAUCGAACUCAGAGAAACAAGCCCUGUGAA